This 3721-nucleotide long non-coding RNA is filed under the name Nicotiana tabacum (common tobacco). RNAcentral describes it as "long non-coding RNA (NTAB_LNC000898)". Lineage: Eukaryota; Viridiplantae; Streptophyta; Magnoliopsida; Solanales; Solanaceae. The record is from RNAcentral.
CGGAAACAAACUCAGCCUUUGUAAGUGCUCUUAGCGACCAGAAUCUUUUUCAUUAAUUGUAUAAAUAACGACAACUAAUAUUGUGACAUCCACACAGAUAUCCAAACACAUACAAAAAGUCAAUACUCAUAUAAACAUCAUUGUUGAUUACAAAAGAUUAGAAUAUCACAUUACCAAAAAUAUACUUAUCUAAAUUGUACUAACAUUAUUUUAUUCAACUCCUAAAAAAAGAAAAAAUAGAACUAUAGCAUAUACAAACAGCAAUAUCUUUAAAAAGUCCUUCGCAAAACAAAGUGGGUUCCUCUUGUACUUCAAUUUAUUCUUUAACAUUUCUCAUCUGCUUCAACUCGCUCUACACUAUCUUCAAGAAAGCUUCAUGUCUUCAAAUUCUUGAUCUGUUAAAAGAAAAAGUGUAUGUUACUGCAUUACUUCAACAAUUAGGAAAAAGAUUAAAAAGGUGUUGCAUCAAUUUACUUGUGGAAGCAUUGACAUUGCAUGAAACUUUAGUCAUGCAGAAACAUACAGGAGUAGAGUAUUGUGCAGAAAUACAAAAUGACGUGCAGAAAUACCGAAUGUUGUGCAGAGAUGAAGAACGAUUUACAGAAAUGCAUAAAAUUGUGCAAAAAUACUAAAAUGCAGAAAUGCUAUCCAGAAAUGCAAUAACACUGUAGAAAUGACAAAUGCUAUCACUUGAUAAAUAAUAAGUAGAGAGUCUAAGAGUGAAUUAGGGAUUACUAUUGACAAUCUACCACAAAUGGAAUUUACUUUAGGAAGAAAAAACUUCAGUGGUAAGAGUACGAAAGCUUUGUCUCUCUUGGGAACCAUAGCUCACAGUAAGAUAUCAAUGACAAAAUUCUUUCCCUUCUUUUUGCUGAAAAUGCUGGCAUUUACAAAAAGUUCUUUCCCUUUGUCCAUAAGAUCAUCUUCCAUUAUUUUCUCAAGGCUUAUAAUGUUUGUAGUUCUGAGAUUGAUUGGAGUUGGAAUCUAAUUUACAAGUUUAGAAUGGACUACAAUGUAAAGUUUAUAGGAGUAAUAUUAAAUGGAAGAUUAACAAAGAUAUGAUCAGGGACCUUAAUAGUCAGAGAUAGGAAAGAAAUAGUCAGAGUGCAAAUGAUAUAGGAAAAACUUAUAGUUGGACAUAAUAUCACUUCAUGGAUGUCAUUAAAUAGGAGAAAUUACAGAAAAAGACUUUAAUUGUAACCCAUGGAUAAGGAUUCAUGCUAGUGUCUUUCACUUUGGAUAGCUAAUGAAAAAAACCUAUCAACUACACCUAUAUAUUAAUGCAAGCAUUUAACAUUCUUGAACUGAUAGUGAAACAGAAUAAAAAAGACAUACCUGAAAUGGUAUUUAUCCUCACAAACAACAAUCACGAAGUAAAAAUGGUGAACUAAUGUCUGCACGAAUAACAACUACUACCUCCUGGGAGUGUUGAGCAUCGACUGCAAAGAAAUUCAAGCAACUUGUGCCUCAUGGGAAUGUUGAGCAACUUCUGCCUUCUUCACCUUCACUUCUUGAUAUGAGCUGAUAGCUAUACUCAAUGCAGAUAAAUUGUUAAACAAGUGAAGCAACAAAAGAACAAAAAAUAAACCAUCUUCUCUAAGAACUCACCAACACAGAAAAAAUAAUUUCCUUUUAAGAGGAGAAAAAAAGAACAUAUUGAGAGAGGUAGAAUAAAAAUACUGUUAUACCGAAUUAAUUAUUAUUUUGAGCUUUUCAUCACAAAGUAAGCAAGAAUGAAGAUGUGAUUUACUUCACAAAUAAAAGCACAUAAUUUUAGAGGAGGUAAUUUAUUGUUAGGGAAGUAGUGUGAAACAUGCAACCGCUUUACUUGUUACUUGUUACUCGAAACAUGUGAUAUUCAGUUGAUAUCUUUAUUGCAAGCUGUAUCAAGAGAAAUUAAUGUUCUUAUUAUGUGUUUAGUAAGUUAAAAAAACAAGAUGCUAAAAGAUCACGUCUCUAAGCGAAUCUUAGAUGUAGUCCCUUUAUACUUAAACCAAUAUUAUUACCAAAAGAUUUAAAUUAUAUAUGUACUAAUAUGAAAAAAAAACACAUACCAAAAGUAUUCUUAUAUCAUGUACAUAGACUCCGAGUGGAUCUAAAUGAGUAUAUAAAAUUUAUAUAUCUCUAAUUAGUUUAGAAUUAAAAAGUAAUUAGCUUUUUUUCUCAUAUUUCUAUCCUUAGUGCUGGCCUAAAAGAUAUUCCCUGCCAAAAUCUCAUCCACAUUCAAUGCAAGAGACUUUAAAAAUAUCCAAUGAAAAGGAUACCAUGAAGGUAAAAUUCCAACAAUACUCAAGGGUGCACUCACCAGAAGACUUCUUAGUUUACAUUCCAGUUAUUGUAGUUAAUUUAAUAAGAACACAGACUCAGACUCAACACUAGGUUUACAAUUAGAAAAUAAAUGUUACAGUCACACUCAAAAAUGGUUAAAGUGUAUAGGUUAGUAGGACAACAAGCAUUUCUCAUUCUGCUGCACCUAGAAGCAAUGAAUUCUUUAGACUCAUGAAAUAUUUGUGAGCACUUGUAACUUAGAUCACCUACUCUGUCCUGGCUUUUCAUUAACUAGCUUCCUCAACGUUAGAUUGUAUUAAGUACCAUCAAUUUACUCUUUGAUAUACCUAGUUAAAUUCAUCCAGCACUUAGACGCAUCGUUUGAAAACUCAAAGUUCAUAUAUUGAUAUUAGAUCUUCAAGUAAUGACAAGAGCUUUAUAGAAAUGUAAAGUCCCCUGUAUUUUAGUUCAUCCAACUAGUGAUAAUUCUUUAAAAAUCAUUAUGUCUUCAUGGUUAUAUCCUUAGUCAUAUUUGCAGCGAAAAGCUCAAAGAUAAAGACCAAUUUAUAGAAAAACUACAUGAAAAGGAAAAAAAGAUCACCCCUUACUAUAUUUAUACCUAUUUCUCCUUCACCUCAUAUACCAAAUAAAGGUCUAUACUUAGGUCAAUAAACAACAAAAAUUAAAGAAAACUACAACUCUGGGCAGGUUUAAUCCAGCAUAACUAGACAUUGAAAAAGAUAGUAUUGGGAAACAUUAAUAUUCUAAGAAGAAAUCCAAAUUACUUGACAAACACUAAGAAAAGCAGAACAAUACCAUCAAACCGAGAUACCAUUGGACAAUAAAAGAAUACCCAAUUCCACUCAAUAGUUACAUGGCAGGUUUAGGGAUUUGGUAUAAACAUACCUUGAUAAGAAGAAAAUUCUUAGACGAGCAGUCGAUGAUAAUGGAGGAGACGGGCUGUAUUUUUACUUCGAAGAAGUUUACUCCAAGAUGGGCAAUCGGAGGAGAUGGCGCAGGUGGUGAGCAGUUUUCUUCAUUCUUCCAAUUGAAACAAGCAUUUUUUGAUCCAAGAUUAGGGAUUUUCUUUUGAGGGUUGGGUGGUUGGGUUUGGUUGCGCGUAAGAAAAGAGGGAAAAAGUUUGUGCUUGUUUUUAUUUAAUAAAUUACUUUUAACGACGAAAUAUUAUACUUUUUAGGAUAAAAUAGUUUCCCCUUGUUAAUGUUGAGAUUAAAAAUUGACUUUAACGUCUUGAAAAAAGUUGGCCGCUAUAAGUUCACGUAUAACGACCGGAUUCAUGUCCCUUCGUUAAGAAAUUAUCGUUAAAAAUCAAGUUUCUUGUAGUGGAAGUAUUAAAUUGGAGUUUUUCUCUGAACCUUGAUGGAAAAUCAUAGAUUUCUGAUAGGAAAGAAAAAGUCUAAUUACUAAAAAAAAUUCAUAUACACGAGCGUGC